RNAcentral lists this transfer RNA (71 nucleotides) under Peltigera malacea. RNAcentral describes it as "tRNA-Cys". It matches the Rfam family "tRNA". From Rfam's summary of the family: Transfer RNA (tRNA) molecules are approximately 80 nucleotides in length. Their secondary structure includes four short double-helical elements and three loops (D, anti-codon, and T loops). Lineage: Eukaryota; Fungi; Ascomycota; Lecanoromycetes; Peltigerales; Peltigeraceae. The record is from RNAcentral.
AAGGGGUAUGUUGUAAAAUGGUUAUACAGUAUGAUUGCAGAUCAUAUAAAAGAGGUUCAAUUCCUCCAUAU